This 2933-nucleotide ribosomal RNA is filed under the name Escherichia coli. RNAcentral's name for it is "23S ribosomal RNA". It matches the Rfam family "Bacterial large subunit ribosomal RNA". The record is from RNAcentral. Lineage: Bacteria; Pseudomonadati; Pseudomonadota; Gammaproteobacteria; Enterobacterales; Enterobacteriaceae.
GGGUUGUGAGGUUAAGCGACUAAGCGUACACGGUGGAUGCCCUGGCAGUCAGAGGCGAUGAAGGACGUGCUAAUCUGCGAUAAGCGUCGGUAAGGUGAUAUGAACCGUUAUAACCGGCGAUUUCCGAAUGGGGAAACCCAGUGUGUUUCGACACACUAUCAUUAACUGAAUCCAUAGGUUAAUGAGGCGAACCGGGGGAACUGAAACAUCUAAGUACCCCGAGGAAAAGAAAUCAACCGAGAUUCCCCCAGUAGCGGCGAGCGAACGGGGAGGAGCCCAGAGCCUGAAUCAGUGUGUGUGUUAGUGGAAGCGUCUGGAAAGGCGCGCGAUACAGGGUGACAGCCCCGUACACAAAAAUGCACAUGCUGUGAGCUCGAUGAGUAGGGCGGGACACGUGGUAUCCUGUCUGAAUAUGGGGGGACCAUCCUCCAAGGCUAAAUACUCCUGACUGACCGAUAGUGAACCAGUACCGUGAGGGAAAGGCGAAAAGAACCCCGGCGAGGGGAGUGAAAAAGAACCUGAAACCGUGUACGUACAAGCAGUGGGAGCACAGAGCAAUCUGUGUGACUGCGUACCUUUUGUAUAAUGGGUCAGCGACUUAUAUUCUGUAGCAAGGUUAACCGAAUAGGGGAGCCGAAGGGAAACCGAGUCUUAACUGGGCGUUAAGUUGCAGGGUAUAGACCCGAAACCCGGUGAUCUAGCCAUGGGCAGGUUGAAGGUUGGGUAACACUAACUGGAGGACCGAACCGACUAAUGUUGAAAAAUUAGCGGAUGACUUGUGGCUGGGGGUGAAAGGCCAAUCAAACCGGGAGAUAGCUGGUUCUCCCCGAAAGCUAUUUAGGUAGCGCCUCGUGAAUUCAUCUCCGGGGGUAGAGCACUGUUUCGGCAAGGGGGUCAUCCCGACUUACCAACCCGAUGCAAACUGCGAAUACCGGAGAAUGUUAUCACGGGAGACACACGGCGGGUGCUAACGUCCGUCGUGAAGAGGGAAACAACCCAGACCGCCAGCUAAGGUCCCAAAGUCAUGGUUAAGUGGGAAACGAUGUGGGAAGGCCCAGACAGCCAGGAUGUUGGCUUAGAAGCAGCCAUCAUUUAAAGAAAGCGUAAUAGCUCACUGGUCGAGUCGGCCUGCGCGGAAGAUGUAACGGGGCUAAACCAUGCACCGAAGCUGCGGCAGCGACGCUUAUGCGUUGUUGGGUAGGGGAGCGUUCUGUAAGCCUGUGAAGGUGUGCUGUGAGGCAUGCUGGAGGUAUCAGAAGUGCGAAUGCUGACAUAAGUAACGAUAAAGCGGGUGAAAAGCCCGCUCGCCGGAAGACCAAGGGUUCCUGUCCAACGUUAAUCGGGGCAGGGUGAGUCGACCCCUAAGGCGAGGCCGAAAGGCGUAGUCGAUGGGAAACAGGUUAAUAUUCCUGUACUUGGUGUUACUGCGAAGGGGGGACGGAGAAGGCUAUGUUGGCCGGGCGACGGUUGUCCCGGUUUAAGCGUGUAGGCUGGUUUUCCAGGCAAAUCCGGAAAAUCAAGGCUGAGGCGUGAUGACGAGGCACUACGGUGCUGAAGCAACAAAUGCCCUGCUUCCAGGAAAAGCCUCUAAGCAUCAGGUAACAUCAAAUCGUACCCCAAACCGACACAGGUGGUCAGGUAGAGAAUACCAAGGCGCUUGAGAGAACUCGGGUGAAGGAACUAGGCAAAAUGGUGCCGUAACUUCGGGAGAAGGCACGCUGAUAUGUAGGUGAAGUCCCUCGCGGAUGGAGCUGAAAUCAGUCGAAGAUACCAGCUGGCUGCAACUGUUUAUUAAAAACACAGCACUGUGCAAACACGAAAGUGGACGUAUACGGUGUGACGCCUGCCCGGUGCCGGAAGGUUAAUUGAUGGGGUUAGCGCAAGCGAAGCUCUUGAUCGAAGCCCCGGUAAACGGCGGCCGUAACUAUAACGGUCCUAAGGUAGCGAAAUUCCUUGUCGGGUAAGUUCCGACCUGCACGAAUGGCGUAAUGAUGGCCAGGCUGUCUCCACCCGAGACUCAGUGAAAUUGAACUCGCUGUGAAGAUGCAGUGUACCCGCGGCAAGACGGAAAGACCCCGUGAACCUUUACUAUAGCUUGACACUGAACAUUGAGCCUUGAUGUGUAGGAUAGGUGGGAGGCUUUGAAGUGUGGACGCCAGUCUGCAUGGAGCCGACCUUGAAAUACCACCCUUUAAUGUUUGAUGUUCUAACGUUGACCCGUGAUCCGGGUUGCGGACAGUGUCUGGUGGGUAGUUUGACUGGGGCGGUCUCCUCCUAAAGAGUAACGGAGGAGCACGAAGGUUGGCUAAUCCUGGUCGGACAUCAGGAGGUUAGUGCAAUGGCAUAAGCCAGCUUGACUGCGAGCGUGACGGCGCGAGCAGGUGCGAAAGCAGGUCAUAGUGAUCCGGUGGUUCUGAAUGGAAGGGCCAUCGCUCAACGGAUAAAAGGUACUCCGGGGAUAACAGGCUGAUACCGCCCAAGAGUUCAUAUCGACGGCGGUGUUUGGCACCUCGAUGUCGGCUCAUCACAUCCUGGGGCUGAAGUAGGUCCCAAGGGUAUGGCUGUUCGCCAUUUAAAGUGGUACGCGAGCUGGGUUUAGAACGUCGUGAGACAGUUCGGUCCCUAUCUGCCGUGGGCGCUGGAGAAUUGAGGGGGGCUGCUCCUAGUACGAGAGGACCGGAGUGGACGCAUCACUGGUGUUCGGGUUGUCAUGCCAAUGGCACUGCCCGGUAGCUAAAUGCGGAAGAGAUAAGUGCUGAAAGCAUCUAAGCACGAAACUUGCCCCGAGAUGAGUUCUCCCUGACUCCUUGAGAGUCCUGAAGGAACGUUGAAGACGACGACGUUGAUAGGCCGGGUGUGUAAGCGCAGCGAUGCGUUGAGCUAACCGGUACUAAUGAACCGUGAGGCUUAACCUUACAACGCCGAAGGUGUUU